RNAcentral lists this ribosomal RNA (255 nucleotides) under uncultured bacterium. Its description in RNAcentral is "partial 16S ribosomal RNA". It matches the Rfam family "Bacterial small subunit ribosomal RNA", at positions 524 to 777 of the family's 1533-position model. The record is from RNAcentral.
GACGGAGGAUGCAAGCGUUAUCCGGAAUGAUUGGGCGUAAAGCGUCCGCAGGUGGCAGUUCAAGUCUGCUGUCAAAGACCGGGGCUUAACUUCGGAAAGGCAGUGGAAACUGAACAGCUAGAGUAUGGUAGGGGCAGAGGGAAUUCCUGGUGUAGCGGUGAAAUGCGUAGAGAUCAGGAAGAACACCUGAGGCGAAGGCGGGUUGCUGGGCUGAUGACUGACGCUGAGGCGCGAAAGCCAGGGGAGCAAACGGGG